RNAcentral lists this ribosomal RNA (1251 nucleotides) under Triticum aestivum (bread wheat). RNAcentral describes it as "partial small subunit ribosomal RNA". The record is from RNAcentral. Lineage: Eukaryota; Viridiplantae; Streptophyta; Magnoliopsida; Poales; Poaceae.
AUGUAUUGUGCGGUGAAUUGUAUUGAAAAUCCUUAUAUUGCCAAUUACAUAAGGAAAAGAAAACAAAUAGAAGAUGAAGAGAAUACUAAUGAAAGGGAAGAGGCUUCCCAAUCUCCUCCUAUUAUUUCUUAUGAUGAAUCAGGUAACGGGGAGGAGCUUUCUAUUCAACCAAUCUCAUCAAUAAGGAGCUCAAAGAGGAAGGUUGAACCUACACAUAAUGUGAAGAAGAAAAAGAAAAGAAGGAGAAAGAAAGGUAAAAAGGUAUCCCUCCCAAAUGAUGUUGCUCCUACUACUCAUUGUGAUGAUGAUAAUUGCUAUACUAUUGGUGCUAUCAAUAUUUUUAAUGAUGAGAGUGAUUAUGCUUAUGAUAUGAAAGGGCUCAAGCUUGGGGAAGCUAUGUUUGAUUGGGAUGAAAUAUUUGAGAAUAUAUUUGCUGGAAUUAAUGUUUGUCCCAAGCUUGGGGAUGCUAUGUUUAAUGAAGAUGAUAUUUUUAGCAUCCCAAGUUUUGAUAUGCAAAGUUGUUAUGAUGAUAGCAUGCCUCCUACCUAUGAUGAUUAUAUUGAUGAAAGUGGGUUCGGAAGAGAGUCAACUUUAGGAAGUAGUAAUCCCACUAUUUUGGAGGAUGUUGAAUUUUAUUGUGAUGAAUACGAAAGUGGAUUCGGAAGAGUGUCAACUUUAUUUAGUGAUUCCACUAUCUUGGGAGAGGUUUCAAUCGAUUAUGAUGAGAACGAAGUUGCUACUUAUGAUGAUUAUUGUGAUGAAACUUAUGCUAUAAAAAGUAGUGACGAUUAUAUUUACAAAUCUUCUCAUGAUUAUGAUUACCCUUUUUAUGAACGUUACUCUUUUAAUGUGGAAGCAAUUUUUAGUGUUCAAGUCUCUUAUGAUACUCCCACUAUUAUUCAUGAGAAGAAUUUUGCUUAUGUGGAGAGUAGUGAAUUUUCUAUGCAAGUAGAUCAUGAAAAGAAUGCUUUAGGUGCUGGUUAUAUUGUUGAAUUAAUUCAUGAUGCUACUGAAAAUUAUUAUGAGGGAGGAAUAUAUGCUUGUAGGAAUUGCAAUAAUAUCAAGUUUCCUCUCUAUGUGCUUAAAAUCUUGAAGCUAUGCUUGUUUUACCUUCCUAUGCUUGUUGAUUAUUGUUCCCAUAAGUUGUUUGCUCACAAAAUCCCUAUGCAUAGGAAGUGGGUUAGACUUAAAUGUGCUAGUCAUAUGCUUCAUGAUGCUCCCGUUAUGUUUCAAUUCUUAUCUUUUAUGUGA